AAUAUUCUACGAAUUCAGCAGAGCAUCAUUACAUAAUCCCUAGCAGCGUAAAUGUAUUCCUUGUAGAAUAAAUCCGUGUGUUCUUGCUCGCUGAACGCGUACUCCCUCGCUGAGCCGAUGCAGAACACAAUGUCUGCGUCUUUGAAUGCGACAGACGCAUCGUGACCGUACGUUAUAUCUACAGCAGAUAGUGUUUACAGACACACGCAUAAAUCUGUUUCCGCUGCUUAACUACUCCUCUGACAAAUUAAUCGCGAAAUAUAUUGCAGUCAUUAAUAGUUCCACAGUGUUGCGAUUUCAAUGCAGUUCGCUAGAUGUUUGGUUUAGGAAAAUAUCCGUGAUCCGAUGAGAUCUUUUUUCCUAGAAUCUCUUAUUUCUUAUUUUUAAAAAGAGUUUACCGUGCAGAAGAUUGGGGCUGAAGAACGUGAGCUCGAUGGCUACGCUCUCCAGAAACACCGCUUUCUCCGGGAACUCGUACACGCUUACGAAGAUCGAUUGAUCCGGACCGAAUACUUCAUCGGAAAGAAUCCUGUAAAGGAAGGACAGUGCUAUGUCACUGCUCCCGUCGGUGACGACCACUCGCAAAACGUCCUCGUCACGUCGCGACGCGUGAGUCACGACGGUUUCGUCAGUUUCGUAGAUACUCGAAUCCAUUUGUGAUUCACGGAACUCCUACUUGACGUUUGCAACGAUUACGAAUGCGUUUAUAGGUAUCUACAAGGCGGUUCGAGCCGAAUCUACUCGAAUAAGUUAAUUUUGCCACUUUAUAACGUCUACUUGAGCUUGAGAGUCACGCAGAGAGUAUUUUCUGAUAGAAAAAAAAUGUAAACAACACUGCGUUGAUUUUCUGUGAACCAGACCUUUUAUUACGAUAUCAUUGCAGGCGUCGAUUGCUUCAGCGUACACUUUAGCCUUCAUGGAGCAGUAAGCCAGUUUGUAGGCUACAGAAAGUUUGGACUUUCCACCGUACCUCCAAGCUUGGCUGUAUUGCAGAGCAGCUUCCUUAUAGUUCUGCUCUUUCUCGGCUAUGUGGCCAGACAAUUCAUGAGCCCUCACGCAAGUAGCAUUGUGCUGCAAGACCUUUCUCAGCAGCUCAUUAGCCAAGUCGUAUUUGUUCGAUUGCACAUAAAUCUCGGCUAAGAGCAGCCAACAGCGUUCCAAGUACUCGGCGUCCUCGAAGGUCCAUAUGUUCUUGCUGACGCGUUUCAAAUGGUUCCGGGCUCUGGGAGUUUGUUUGAGAAGGAUGUGAGCCAUUGCCAUGCCAAGGGCUGGCCCUACGUGAUCCCUCAGAGCUUCUUGGCUGGCUAGCGCAGUACAAUCUUGCAAGGCCUUUUCUAUGUUCGACUUUUGCUUUGUAGCCAGCAGGAAGAAAUUACUUAGCAGCCUGUGCGUUAACAUUUCGUGAGGACUGCCUUUGGGAUUUAAUUCCUGAAGCAGAAUGGUUGAGUGUACACUUUUUGAACAGUUAGAAGCAGCUUUUAUGAGCUGGUAGCUUUACCUGCAAGAGACGGUAGGCAGUUUUCAAGGCCAUCGUUCUAGAGUCUUGGUACUCGCUGUCAUCGUCGUUAAAGACUUCGUUGGAAAGAGAGGAAUCAUCGUCCGGAUCUAAACAAAUCUCAAUCAUGUUAUAUAUUGCUUGUUGACCCCACUCAGGAUCACGUCUUGCAAAAUUAAACUGACGAAGCGCGGAGUUUAAUCUUCCCGUGCGCCAAUCUAACAAGCCAGCGCAGUAAUAAUACCCAGCUGCCAAGUUUGAUCCGCUCAUCCCUAACUCUGCGCGAUGAAGCCAUUCCUCGAGAUCAUCCAUGUUCCCUGAUGUAGAGAGAAUAUAAAUCAAUUUCCAAUUCUUUCAGCAGUUCUUUCAAGUAUCUUCUACCUGUCCUGCGUGAGACUUCUAUCAGCCUUGCGAGUGCAGUCCAGUACGUUGGUUGCUUUAGCAACAAUUGCUUGAAGUGAUAUGCUGCUGUGUCAAAAUCUACCUUUCGGAACGCGAGAUCUGCCAUCAUGAUGGAAGCCGCUUCGUUGUUCGGAUCUGCGUUUAACAAAGCUGCACAGCUCUGCGCGCAUUUGUCUAAAUUGUUAGUCUGGGAAUCAAAGAUACGGGUCAUUAUUGAGAAAUCUAUAGGAAACUCCACUCAAGAAAUUACGAUCAUUCACCUGCAUGUAUAUCUUUGCCAGUGACAAAAGAGCUUGCACGUUCGCAGGCUUAUGAUUCAAAGCUUCUUUGUAAUGUGUUAUUGCUUGAUCAUAAUCUCUUAAAGAUGACGAAUAGUUGGCCAUAGUCAGGCAGAUAUUCGCCAAGAUUUGCUUCUCAUCUUCCAUAGUAGAACUUCCUAGACGUUGUAUGUACCUGUGUUGAUUCUCUUUAGCUUCUUUCAACGCAGUCAGAGCGCCGUGAAUAUUAUCUGCUUUUUCUCUUGUUUUCGCAAGUAAAAGCAAUAAUUGACCGCGUACCUCUAGAUUCUGCAAAUCAGAAUCCCGACGUCCUUCUGAAAUAUCGAAUUAUUUGCAUCGAAUGAGUACCAUGAUCAAAUAUUUAAUAUAAAUAAUACCUGCCUUGCAGUUCUUGUACCAAUGUAGACUCUGCUUUAUCAUACUGUUUCAUUGUCACGAAUAACUUAGCAAGAUCUAACUUCAAUUCCUUGAAAUUUUCUUGUCUCACCAUAUCCCAAUAAUAAUUUAUAGCCUUUGUGUAUUGAUGUGUUUUUACAAGGGCUUUCCCUAACUUGCUGGCUAUCUGCAACUUAUUCAUAGGAUUUUGUUUCAUGGCUUGUUCAUAUGCUUCUAUUGCUCGCUCUGGUUCCUGUAUGGAAAUAUAUGCAUCACCCAGCAUACUAUAUGUCUUUGGACCAGGACAGUGCUCCACUAAUUCUCUGUAAACAAAUAAAUGUAGACAAUGCUUAAAGAGAUACGAAUAAGGAAGUGUAAUGAAGAACAAACCUAAAACACAUAGCAAAGGCAAGCCUGUCCUUUUUAUACUUUAAAUUGAUUUCAGCCAGACGUGUGUGUGCUUGCAGGUAAUAAGGCUGAUCUGAAGUUACUCUAGACAAGCACUUGAUGGCCUCGUCCAAUUCUCCCAUUUCUAAAAGUAGUUCUGCAUGUCCUAUCAGUAUUCUACCUUCUUCAAUAGUGUUCCCAAACCUUAAGUUUGCCUCUUG
Nomia melanderi (Alkali bee) is the source of this 3158-nucleotide non-coding RNA. NCBI's taxonomy places the organism in Eukaryota, Metazoa, Arthropoda, Insecta, Hymenoptera, Halictidae. The record is from RefSeq and is a predicted model, not a curated record.